RNAcentral lists this long non-coding RNA (1422 nucleotides) under Nicotiana benthamiana. Its description in RNAcentral is "long non-coding RNA (NBEN_LNC040012)". The record is from RNAcentral. Lineage: Eukaryota; Viridiplantae; Streptophyta; Magnoliopsida; Solanales; Solanaceae.
UCCCGUGCUUUCUCACAGAAACUAUUGUUCAAAUCUCUACGGAGAUAAGAAAUACAGGUGAUUUUAUCCCAUCUGUCUAAGCCUUGGUAGCCUGAGUAACUCGAUAACUAUGUUGGCGGGAGGUGUCAGGUACCCUAUGAAAUAAUCAAUGUGUGUUAAAACUAACCGAACACCACUACCAUUAGAACAAAUCAAUAGAGUACAAUGGAAAUACAAGUUCACAACACUUUUGUUUCUGAACGUGUACCUCAUAUAAAGAAAUAACAUUCCACAACAAUAACUAUUCCGGGAAAGCAGAAGGAAACUCGAAGACUAGAAGUAUCAGGAUACAACAACAACAACAACCUAGUAUAAUCCCACUUAGUGGGGUCUUGGGAGGGUAGUAUGUACGCAGACCUUACCCCUACCCUGGGGUAGAGAGGCUGUUUCCAAAUAGUACGCAGACCUUACUCCUACCUUGGGGUAGGGAGGCUGUUUCCAAAUAAACCCUCGGCAUCCUUCCCUCCAAGAACUUACCACCUUGAUCUUGGGGAGACUCGAACUCACAACCUCUCGGUUGGAAGUGGAGGCUGCUUACCAUCAGAGCAACCCUGUCUAAAAACAUCUGAAAACAAUUGGCACUGAUCUCAAAUGUGCAGAACUUUCUACUAGCAGAUGCAUACAUGGCAAAGUAUCAGCAGAUUUAGGCAACACGGUCGAUUCACACAUUUCAUUCUUGAGGAUGUAGCAAAACAGAUUAUAGAGGCUCGUCUAACAACAAAAGAUUUUGAUUCCAUGAAACAUGUUUAUUCCAUAGGAUACAAAAGUUAAAAACUAUAUAUUUCUCAUAUACUUAGAACCCUAGGAGAAAGACAAUACAAUAAUGAGGCUUAUUCUAUUGUAACAGAUGAAUAUAGUUAAUUAGAUAGUGACAUGGACUAGAAUCCUCCCACUUUCUGAUUCUGAUGUAACUCUCAAUUCACUAAUAGAGCCCCAAGAAAAAAAUGCUCCCCUCGUUUCAUUUUAUGUAACUUAGUUUGACAACUCUCAAUUCACUAAUAGAGCCCCAGGAAAAAAAUGCUCCCCUCGUUUCAUUUUAUGUAACUUAGUUUGACUACGUAAUAGUUUACAAAAAUAAGAGACUUUUGAAUAGCAUGUAUCAAACUAUAUAUACGUAUACAACAACAACAACAACUACCCAGUAUAGUCCCACAAAGUGAGGUCUGGGGAGGGUAAACGUAGACAAGCCUUACCCCUACCCGAAAGGGCAGAGAGGUUGUUUCCAAGCGACCCCCGGCUCGUGAAGGAAAGGAAAGACAAAAACAAGAGAGCAUUAGUAAUUCCAACAGAAAUAACGUAAAUAAAUAUCUAAACAUAAGAAACAUAAAUAAAAUAACAUGCAAUAAUAUAAUACAGUAACUACCAUAAAUAAACUAUAUAUAC